UAGGGAAUAUUGGUUAAUGUGCGAAAGCGCGAACCAGCAACGCCGCGUGUGCGAUGAAGGCCUUCGGGUCGUAAAGUACUUUUUGCAGGGAAGAGGAAGGACGGUACCUGCAGAAUAAGUCUCGGCUAACUACGUGCCAGCAGCCGCGGUAAAACGUAGGAGACGAGCGUUAUCCGGAUUUACUGGGCGUAAAGCGCGUGCAGGCGGCAUGGCAAGUUGGAUGUGAAGGCUCCCGGCUUAACUGGGAGAGGUCGUUCAAUACUGCCAGGCUUGAGAGUGGUAGAGGGAAGCGGAAUUCCGGGUGUAGAGGUGAAAUGCGUAGAUAUCCGGAGGAACACCAGUGGCGAAAGCGGCUUCCUGGCCCAUUUCUGACGCUCAGACGCGAAAGCUAGGGUAGCAAACGG
RNAcentral lists this ribosomal RNA (404 nucleotides) under uncultured bacterium. Its description in RNAcentral is "bacterial SSU rRNA". It matches the Rfam family "Bacterial small subunit ribosomal RNA", at positions 355 to 775 of the family's 1533-position model. The record is from RNAcentral.